CGGGAGGCUGAGGCGGGAGAAUUGCUUGAACCUGGGAGGCGGAGGUUGCAGUGAGCCCAGAUCAUGCCAUUGUGUGUAAACAUAUUGAGUUCACCGCCAGACCUUUCAGCAUGUGGCCAAUGUGUCUCCAUUUUUUUGAUGUAGGCCAGUUUGAGUUGGACUGUCUGCCACCUGAGCAAGAGAAAUCCCACCUGCCAAGCCUCUCGGCAGACGGUGGUGCAGCCUCCACAGCCUGGUCUUCAGAUUGUAACUCCGGCCCCUGCUCUGAGCUGGACCCCUCUAGAUCAAGUUUGCAAA
RNAcentral lists this long non-coding RNA (297 nucleotides) under Homo sapiens (human). RNAcentral's name for it is "non-protein coding lnc-COL4A2-3:1". The record is from RNAcentral. Lineage: Eukaryota; Metazoa; Chordata; Mammalia; Primates; Hominidae.